RNAcentral lists this ribosomal RNA (429 nucleotides) under Actinomycetes bacterium. Its description in RNAcentral is "Actinobacteria bacterium partial 16S ribosomal RNA". It matches the Rfam family "Bacterial small subunit ribosomal RNA", at positions 355 to 776 of the family's 1533-position model. Lineage: Bacteria; Bacillati; Actinomycetota; Actinomycetes. The record is from RNAcentral.
UAGGGAAUCUUCCGCAAUGGGCGAAAGCCUGACGGAGCAACGCCGCGUGAGUGAUGAAGGUCUUCGGAUCGUAAAACUCUGUUAUUAGGGAAGAACAAAUGUGUAAGUAACUAUGCACGUCUUGACGGUACCUAAUCAGAAAGUCACGGCUAACUACGUGCCAGCAGCCGCGGUAAUACGUAGGUGGCAAGCGUUAUCCGGAAGUAUUGGGCGUAAAGCGCGCGUAGGCGGUUUUUUAAGUCUGAUGUGAAAGCCCACGGCUCAACCGUGGAGGGUCAUUGGAAACUGGAAAACUUGAGUGCAGAAGAGGAAAGUGGAAUUCCAUGUGUAGCGGUGAAAUGCGCAGAGAUAUGGAGGAACACCAGUGGCGAAGGCGACUUUCUGGUCUGUAACUGACGCUGAUGUGCGAAAGCGUGGGGAUCAAACAGG